AGUGAACGCUGGCGGUAGGCCUAACACAUGCAAGUCGAACGGCAGCACAGUAAGAGCUUGCUCUUACGGGUGGCGAGUGGCGGACGGGUGAGGAAUACAUCGGAAUCUACUUUUUCGUGGGGGAUAACGUAGGGAAACUUACGCUAAUACCGCAUACGACCUACGGGUGGAAGCAGGGGAUCUUCGGACCUUGCGCGAUUGAAUGAGCCGAUGUCGGAUUAGCUAGUUGGCGGGGUAAAGGCCCACCAAGGCGACGAUCCGUAGCUGGUCUGAGAGGAUGAACAGGCACACCGGAACUUAGAAACGGUCCAAGCUCCUACGGGAGGCAGGAGGUGGGAAUAUUGGACAAUGGGCGCAAGCCUGAUCCAGCCAUACCGCGUGGGUGAAGAAGGCCUUCGGGUUGUAAAGCCCUUUUGUUGGGAAAGAAAAGCAGCAGGUUAAUACCCCGCUGUUCUGACGGUACCCAAAGAAUAAGCACCGGCUAACUUCGUG
Molecule: ribosomal RNA, 492 nt
Filed under: uncultured bacterium
Lineage: Bacteria
Description: partial 16S ribosomal RNA
Rfam family: Bacterial small subunit ribosomal RNA
Source: RNAcentral